RNAcentral lists this long non-coding RNA (557 nucleotides) under Bos taurus (domestic cattle). Its description in RNAcentral is "long non-coding RNA NONBTAT000871". Lineage: Eukaryota; Metazoa; Chordata; Mammalia; Artiodactyla; Bovidae. The record is from RNAcentral.
AGUCUUUUCAUUUGCGUUUAUUUAAACACAGUUCUCAAAACAUUUGAGUGAAAUUGGGCCUCCUUUGGUAAGCAAAGGACCUGAAAGUAAUAUUUAAAAAAUGAACAGGCAAAGUCUUCAGAUCAUCCACAACACAGGUGUAGUGUUCCCUUCUUUUUUCUCAAAACUCUGAAGCACCCAGUUUUUCCAUAUAAUCUUAAAAGCUAGAAGAACAAGAGUACAUUUGUGGUGGAAUGUAUUGUCACUUGCUGAUAACUAAUUGAAAUACCAUUAUCCCCUUCUAACAGCUUUAAGAAAUAGCCUUUUUAAGGCAUACAUUGUGUAACUCAUCUUAUUCCCUGCUAUAUAUAAUACAGAUUACAUAAAGGCUGACAAAUUCACAUUUAUAUAAGCAUUAAGCAUUUGCUGUAUUGAAAGAUCUUUAGUUUUUAACACUAGCAGUAUAGAGUUACAGAGCAUAAUUUUUAUCACUUAAUUGCAGGUAUAUUAAGUAUGGUAUGUUUCAUGGACUCGAGGAGAACGGGCAUUUUUGUCUUUAAUUUACUACUGACAAUCUA